UGAGUACGAGACGCUAAGGCGUUGAAGCAGUCUAUGUCAGACUUCUAAGAAAAGCUCGCAAUGUCAUAAACAAAUAAUGCCUGUACCAUAACCGACACAGGUGGGUAGGUAGAGUAUACUAAGGGGCGCGAGAUAACUCUCUCUAAGGAACUCGGCAAAAUGACUCCGUAACUUCGGGAGAAGGAGUGCCUUAUUUUUAUAAGGUUGCAAUAACAAGAUCCAAGCAACUGUUUACCAAAAACACAGGUCUCCGCUAAGUCGUAAGACGAUGUAUGGGGGCUGACGCCUGCCCAGUGCCAGAAGGUUAAAGAAGUUGGUUAGUUUCGGCGAAGCUGAUGACUGAAGCCCUGGUGAACGGCGGCCGUAACAAUAACGGUCCUAAGGUAGCGAAAUUCCUUGUCGGGUAAGUUCCGACCCGCACGAAAGGCGUAAUGAUUUGGAUACUGUCUCGGAGAGGGGCUCGGUGAAAUAGACUUGUCUGUGAAGAUGCGGACUACCUGCACCUGGACAGAAAGACCCUAUGAAGCUUUACUGUAACUUGAGAUUGAAAUUGGACUUUAUUUGCGCAGUAUAGGUGGGAGACGUUGAGAAUAUUCUUGCGGGAAUAUUGGAGUCAUCAGUGAGAUACCACUCUUGUAAUGUUAGAUUUCUAACUUUGUAUCAUGAUCUGGUCAAAGGACAGUUUCAGGCGGGCAGUUUGACUGGGGCGGUCGCCUCCCAAACGGUAACGGAGGCGCACAAAGGUUUCCUCUGAACGUGUAGAAAUCGUAUCUAGAGUGUAAAGGCAUAAGGAAGCUUGACUGUGAGACCUACAAGUCGAGCAGGGACGAAAGUCGGUCUUAGUGAUCUGACGGUGCUGAGUGGAAAGGCCGUCACUCAACGGAUAAAAGUUACUCUAGGAUAACAGGCUGAUCUCCCCCAAGAGUUCACAUCGACGGGGAGGUUUGGCACCUCGAUGUCGGCUCAUCGCAUCCUGGGGCGGUAGUACGUCCCAAGGGUUGGGCUGUUCGCCCAUGAAAGCGGUACGCGAGCUGGGUUCAGAACGUCGUGAGACAGUUCGGUCCAUAUCCGGUGUAGGCGUUAGAAUAUUGAGAGGAGCCUUCUUUAGUACGAGAGGACCGAGAAGGACAUACCUCUGGUGUACCAGUUAUCGUGCCAACGGUAAACGCUGGGUAGCUAUGUAUGGAGUGGAUAACCGCUGAAAGCAUCUAAGUGGGAAGCCCACCUCAAGAUAAG
RNAcentral lists this ribosomal RNA (1236 nucleotides) under metagenome. RNAcentral describes it as "bacterial LSU rRNA". It matches the Rfam family "Bacterial large subunit ribosomal RNA", at positions 1564 to 2808 of the family's 2925-position model. The record is from RNAcentral.